GACGAACGCUGGCGGCGUGCUUAACACAUGCAAGUCGAACGGAAAGGCCCUGCUUUUGUGGGGUGCUCGAGUGGCGAACGGGUGAGUAACACGUGAGUAACCUGCCCUUGACUUUGGGAUAACUUCAGGAAACUGGGGCUAAUACCGGAUAGGAGCUCCUGCUGCAUGGUGGGGGUUGGAAAGUUUCGGCGGUUGGGGAUGGACUCGCGGCUUAUCAGCUUGUUGGUGGGGUAGUGGCUUACCAAGGCUUUGACGGGUAGCCGGCCUGAGAGGGUGACCGGCCACAUUGGGACUGAGAUACGGCCCAGACUCCUACGGGAGGCAGCAGUGGGGAAUAUUGCACAAUGGGCGGAAGCCUGAUGCACCAACUCCGCGUGCGGGAUGACGGCCUUCGGGUUGUAAACCGCUUUCGCCUGUGACGAAGCGUGAGUGACGGUAAUGGGUAAAGAAGCACCGGCUAACUACGUGCCAGCAGCCGCGGUGAUACGUAGGGUGCGAGCGUUGUCCGGAUUUAUUGGGCGUAAAGGGCUCGUAGGUGGUUGAUCGCGUCGGAAGUGUAAUCUUGGGGCUUAACCCUGAGCGUGCUUUCGAUACGGGUUGACUUGAGGAAGGUAGGGGAGAAUGGAAUUCCUGGUGGAGCGGUGGAAUGCGCAGAUAUCAGGAGGAACACCAGUGGCGAAGGCGGUUCUCUGGGCCUUUCCUGACGCUGAGGAGCGAAAGCGUGGGGAGCGAACAGGCUUAGAUACCCUGGUAGUCCACGCUGUAAACGGUGGGUACUAGGUGUGGGGUCCAUUCCACGGGUUCCGUGCCGUAGCUAACGCUUUAAGUACCCCGCCUGGGGAGUACGGCCGCAAGGCUAAAACUCAAAGGAAUUGACGGGGCCCCGCACAAGCGGCGGAGCAUGCGGAUUAAUUCGAUGCAACGCGUAGAACCUUACCUGGGUUUGACAUGGAUCGGGAGCGCUCAGAGAUGGGUGUGCCUCUUUUGGGGUCGGUUCACAGGUGGUGCAUGGCUGUCGUCAGCUCGUGUCGUGAGAUGUUGGGUUAAGUCCCGCAACGAGCGCAACCCUUGUUCACUGUUGCCAGCACGUUAUGGUGGGGACUCAGUGGAGACCGCCGGGGUCAACUCGGAGGAAGGUGGGGAUGACGUCAAGUCAUCAUGCCCCUUAUGUCCAGGGCUUCACGCAUGCUACAAUGGCUGGUACAGAGAGUGGCGAGCCUGUGAGGGUGAGCGAAUCUCGGAAAGCCGGUCUCAGUUCGGAUUGGGGUCUGCAACUCGACCUCAUGAAGUCGGAGUCGCUAGUAAUCGCAGAUCAGCAACGCUGCGGUGAAUACGUUCCCGGGGCU
This 1346-nucleotide ribosomal RNA is filed under the name uncultured bacterium. Its description in RNAcentral is "bacterial SSU rRNA". It matches the Rfam family "Bacterial small subunit ribosomal RNA", at positions 28 to 1381 of the family's 1533-position model. The record is from RNAcentral.